GAAACCAACAGGGAUUGCCCUAGUAACGGCGAGUGAAGCGGCAACAGCUCAAAUUUGAAAUCUGGCGUAAGCCCGAGUUGUAAUUUGUAGAGGAUGCUUCAGGGCAGCGGCCGGUCUAAGUCUCUUGGAACAGGGCGUCAUAGAGGGUGAGAAUCCCGUAUGCGACCGGCUGGCACCCGUCACGUAGCUCCUUCGACGAGUCGAGUUGUUUGGGAAUGCAGCUCUAAAUGGGAGGUAAAUUUCUUCUAAAGCUAAAUACCGGCCAGAGACCGAUAGCGCACAAGUAGAGUGAUCGAAAGAUGAAAAGCACUUUGGAAAGAGAGUUAAAAAGCACGUGAAAUUGUUGAAAGGGAAGCGCAUGCAACCAGACUUGUCGGCGGUGUUCCGCCGGUCUUCUGACCGGUCUACUCGCCGCCGGCAGGCCAGCAUCAUCUGGGCGCGCCGGACAAAGGCGCGGGGAAUGUGGCUCCUCGGAGUGUUAUAGCCCCGCGCACAAUACGGCGCCGCCCGGGUGAGGUCCGCGCUUCGGCUAGGAUGCUGGCGUAAUGGUUGUCUGCGGCCCGUCUUGAAACACGGACCAAGGAGUCUAACAUCUAUGCGAGUGUUCGGGUGUCAAACCCCUACGCGGAAUGAAAGUGAACGGAGGUGGGAAGCGCAAGCUGCACCAUCGACCGAUCCUGAUGUCUUCGGAUGGAUUUGAGUAAGAGCAUAGCUGUUGGGACCCGAAAGAUGGUGAACUAUGCCUGAAUAGGGUGAAGCCAGAGGAAACUCUGGUGGAGGCUCGCAGCGGUUCUGACGUGCAAAUCGAUCGUCAAAUUUGGGUAUAGGGGCGAAAGACUAAUCGAACCA
RNAcentral lists this ribosomal RNA (849 nucleotides) under Teratosphaeria velox. RNAcentral's name for it is "eukaryotic LSU rRNA". It matches the Rfam family "Eukaryotic large subunit ribosomal RNA", at positions 61 to 942 of the family's 3401-position model. Lineage: Eukaryota; Fungi; Ascomycota; Dothideomycetes; Mycosphaerellales; Teratosphaeriaceae. The record is from RNAcentral.